GCCUCUGUAGCUCAGUUGGUUAGAGCGCUGCUCCGGAAUAUCAGGGCCGUAGGUUCGAUUCCUACCAGAGGAC
RNAcentral lists this transfer RNA (73 nucleotides) under Paramuricea clavata. It matches the Rfam family "tRNA". Rfam says of the family: Transfer RNA (tRNA) molecules are approximately 80 nucleotides in length. Their secondary structure includes four short double-helical elements and three loops (D, anti-codon, and T loops). Further hydrogen bonds mediate the characteristic L-shaped molecular structure. tRNAs have two regions of fundamental functional importance: the anti-codon, which is responsible for specific mRNA codon recognition, and the 3' end, to which the tRNAs corresponding amino acid is attached (by aminoacyl-tRNA synthetases). tRNAs cope with the degeneracy of the genetic code in two manners: having more than one tRNA (with a specific anti-codon) for a particular amino acid; and 'wobble' base-pairing, i.e. permitting non-standard base-pairing at the 3rd anti-codon position. Lineage: Eukaryota; Metazoa; Cnidaria; Anthozoa; Malacalcyonacea; Plexauridae. The record is from Rfam by way of RNAcentral.